AUUUCCAGCAGACACCUUGAUGCCAUUACUUGAAGAUGAUGCCAGAGAGGGGACUUCAAGCACAAUUGAUCUCUUGCCUCAUGGUUCCAGGACUACAGAACAAAGCACCAGUCCCACUGGUGUAGUCAAUGACAUGGCCGGACCAUAACCUGCAUCUUUAGCUUCUGUUUGAUGUUAAUUGCUUGUAAUCAUGCUGAUUAAUACACUCAAAUACAUAGUAAUCAGGCUCUAUACAUUUUUAAUAUCACACUGAAAUGUAUUUGACUGUUUAAUGUUUAUGUUUUUUGUUUGUGUAUUUAUUUUAUAUUUCAUAAAAUGGAAGCGAAUCAUGAACGCUUCAAGUACAGCAACACUGUUCAGAAGAGUUAUCUUGAGGGAGCAAAAGCUGGAGAUACCUCUUCGCUUCUCAAUGGACCUACAUUCUGAUGUUGAAGAGAGAGAUAAGGCAGUAAUAGCAUUCUACAAGACUCAGAGAACUAAAUGGCCCUCCCCACUUCACUGUGUGCUGGAAGGUGAUGCUGCCAUCGGUGAUGGUGUAAGUCGGUAUUUCAUCAGCUUUGCUAUGCAGACCUUGCAGUCUGGAUUCCACAUCAAUUUUGGCAAUGCUGAUGUGACUAGGCUGUUUGAGGGACAGAAGGAUCACCUCAUCCCAUGUGCCUCCCAGCCACUCAUUGAUUCUGACCUUUUUCUGAUGGCAGGUAGAAUGGUGGGACAUUCAUUUAUACAUGGUAGCCCGGGAUUGCCAGGGAUCAGUCCUGCUGUAGUCCAUGUGCUCUUAGGGGGCCAAUUAGAGAUAGCAACAUUGGUAUUGGAGGAUUGCCCUGAUAUCGAUCGAAGGAACACAAACCAGUUGCUGGAUGGCAACGGGGAGCUAUCUGUCUACAGGGAGCUAGAAAGCGGCUGUCAAUAGCCUAGCCGACAUGUGGGAAUUGCCACGACUGCCUAAUCUGAACAGACAAUAUCUUCAUCAGAGGCUGUUGCAGCAUGCGGUAAUGACAUUAGUUCACAUAACCUAAUACUUUUAUAUCAUCGUACUGAAUCUGACACCAUCUUUUGUCUUGCUUAUGAUACACGACUCAGCUGUUUUUCAUAAGUCAGUAGUUUUUGUCCACUGGGAAGCGGGACACUAUACCUACCUAUAGCUUAUAUAAAAGGGGUGAUGGUUCAGCCUGUUCACCCUGCUGCCUUCUGGGAAGAGAUAUAGAAGUUUCAGCUACCACACCACCAGCUUUUCCCCCCAAGCUGAUUCAGACUUUUAAGCUCAAAUUCAUCCUCAGCACUGCUCCAUUGAUUAUAGAUUAUUUCUGUUUACCAUUUUCAUAAUUGCUUUCAUAUUACUGUAUAUUGUCUGCUACAUAGCAGAAGGGAGUUACAGACUCAAUUUCACUUUACAACCUGUUGUAAAGUGACAAAUAAAUACCUUGUACUAUACA
Cyprinus carpio (common carp) is the source of this 1433-nucleotide long non-coding RNA. NCBI's taxonomy places the organism in Eukaryota, Metazoa, Chordata, Actinopteri, Cypriniformes, Cyprinidae. The record is from Ensembl.